GUAAAUUGCUAGUUUUUCAAUGCGUUCUUAGCUCAGUUGGUUAGAGCACCACCUUGACAUGGUGGGGGUCGAUG
This 74-nucleotide transfer RNA is filed under the name Yersinia enterocolitica (type O:5,27) str. YE149/02. RNAcentral's name for it is "transfer RNA-Val". The stretch from base 22 to 74 matches the Rfam family "tRNA", at positions 1 to 50 of the family's 71-position model. Rfam says of the family: Transfer RNA (tRNA) molecules are approximately 80 nucleotides in length. Lineage: Bacteria; Pseudomonadati; Pseudomonadota; Gammaproteobacteria; Enterobacterales; Yersiniaceae. The record is from RNAcentral.